Diachasmimorpha longicaudata is the source of this 2044-nucleotide long non-coding RNA. RefSeq lists it as uncharacterized. NCBI's taxonomy places the organism in Eukaryota, Metazoa, Arthropoda, Insecta, Hymenoptera, Braconidae. The transcript is spliced from 4 exons. The record is from RefSeq and is a predicted model, not a curated record.
UACCUGGUCAGGCACUCGACGAAUUGUUCAUCCGGGAGGACCUGGGUACACCAGGGGCACCACUGGAUACCCACCGAGGACUAGAAGGGCUAAUGUCUGUUUGGAUAAGAGACCUGGAUGUUAUUACUGUCCCAACUGUGGAAAGGGAUAUCGAUGGCUGAGGAACAUGAAGAAUCAUCUCAAGGUCGAGUGUGGAAAGGACCCGAGCGAGUGCUGUCCUUACUGUCCACAUAAAACGAGAUACAAGAGGAGCCUUCAGAAACACAUUUUGAGAAUGCACUCUACUUAGAUUAAUUGCUGAUUAUUUCAUUAAAUUAUGAUAUUAGUUUGUUGUACGGUUUUACGAGAGGUCUUUGAUUAUUAAAAAGUCUGAUGUUUUGCUCAGGAUUGGUGUGACGUCAUUGAUGGGUACCACCUUCGUUGAGUGUUAAUUAGAUUAUUAAAUUAGUUUGUUAAAGAGGUUUUUGGUAAUUAAAAACGGUUAAAGUUGUGCUCAGGAUCGAUCUGAUAUUUUUGAUAGAUUUUUGUUAAUUAAAAAUGUCUAAUGUUGUGCUUAGGAUUGAUCUGACAUCAUUGACAUGCCCCACCUUCAUCGAGUCUUAAUUAAAUUAUUAAAUUAAUUUAUUAUGAGGCUUUAGAACACAUUUUUAUUAAUUAAAAACGUUUAAUGUUUUGCUCAGAAUCGAUCUGACAUUAUUGAUAGGUUUUUAUUAAUUAAAAAUGUCUAAUGUUUAUCUCAGGAUCGAUUUAACAUCAUUGACAUGUCCCACCUUCAUCGAGUAUUAAUUAAAUCAUGAAAUUAAUUUGUUAUGAGGCUCUAGAACAGAUUUUUAUUAAUUAAAAACGUCUAAUGGUUUUCUCAGGAUCGAUCUGGCAUCAUCGACAUGUCCCACCUUCACCUGAUCCUGUGAAUUCUCCUAAAUUUCAUGGAAGGACAUUCGCUCGUCGUGUCAUCAUAAAAUUACGUGCGGAAACCAUCGAAUUAACACUCCACAAAGUGAUUAAUUCGAGUUUAAUGAGACACCAAAUCAAUCAUCGACAGAUUAACGAACCUGUUCCCAUCAAUUACACCAGAUAAUUCGUUAAUUACGAGUAAACAAACUGUGAUAUGAAGAACAGAUAACGAAUCUCUCCAUUUUUCGGAAUUUAAAUCGAUUAUCGUGGGGUAUCCCAACGAUCCCCUAAUUAAUCGAUAAUUCCACAGCCAUUUGGACUAAUGAACAUGUAAUUACCGCCCCCCCUUCACCGGAAACUCCAUCGACGCUCCUCAAAUCAAUUCGAGGGCCAUAAACCGAAAGGAAAAUGAAGGAAAUAUCGAAAUAUCUCGAUAUCUCGAACCAAUAUAUCGAUUAUUAUGACGCCUUCGAUAUUAUCCAUCAGGACACGUUAAUUACUGAUUUAUAACUCGAACAUAUUUUCUUAAUUUCCACAAAGUCACGAAUUUCUUUCAGGAAAAUUGACUCCUGCAGGACGAGAUGCCCCGCUGUUCCCCAUCGUGAGGCCCCGCCUCCACGUCUGCCCCAGGUGCGGACAGAUGUACUCGUGGGCCUCGAACCUGAGGAAACACCUGAAGAUGGGAUGCGGUAUGGUGACAUGUGAGACACACUUCGCCUGCCAGUACUGCCCCUACAGAUCGAGAAUCCAAGCGAGUUUCCUCAAACAUCUACUCUCGGUCCACAAUAUCAACCGAUUGGCCGGUGUAUGGUCCUUGGAUGGAGGAUUGGAGUGAUGCUGAUAGCAUUGGAGAUAAGGUCCCACUCCACCCAAAAUGGCGAAACAAAUUAUUCUGUCCAGGAUGUGGUAAACCCUUCGCCAGUUACGAUCACCUCUCCGCUCACAGGAGACGAUACUGCGGGGUAGAACCGAAUAUCGUCUGCGGAUAUUGCAAUCACCGGUGCAAACGCGUGUGGGAUAUGAAGGUCCACCUGACUGGAGUCCAUGGAAUACCAAAAGCGGACAUCAACAUCGAGAGGGAUAUUAUUAAAUUAGGGAACGAAUAAGUCUGACUGAAAAUGAUAAUUAAAAUUAAAUUUUUGUUAACGAA